UGAAGUCAGGCGUUUAACCGACUGAGCCACCCAGGCGCCUUUGUUUUAAUAAGGAGCUAUUUUUUCCAUGAGAGAUAGGAUUCUACAAGUUUCUUCUUUUACUCCGGGAAAAUAGUGUCAUCUCAGAAAUUAUUUUCUCAUUUUGCAUUGCCUGGUAAAGACUCAUGUUGCAAAUAGUAAAAGUGGCUGCUAAAACAUGGAGACCAUCGUUCGCAUUUCUCAAGUAUAUGUCUGUUGGCAUGUUUGCAUUUUCAGUUACUGAAGUGUAUCCUCUUUCAGAAAAACAAUCCCAAAUUGCAACGGAGCAGACCUGUGGGUGUGAGAACAGAAGGGCUUUUCCUUUGAUGCGGUCUCUGAGCGGUUUCACACACUUGAACACCUGGAAAUCAAAACCUCUUAAUUCUCUGAACACUUUUCCUGGUAAUUUAGAAAAGUCAUUGGUUGACCACUUGGCCCUGAUCUCUUCUUCUUUUUUUCUUUUCUUCUUUCUCUCUUCUUUCUUCCUCCCUGUCUUCUUUCUUUCUUUCUUUCUUUCUUCCUUUCUUUCUUUUCCUUCCUUCCUUUUUUCCUGUCUGUCUUUGUCUUUCCUUCCUUCCUUCUUUCCUUUUUUUUUUUCUCUUAUCAUUUCCAUUUUCCAUCAGCAUUUUUCUGUGAUUACUACUUCCAUGGAAAACAGAUAUUUUUCUAAAUUAAUCUAAGGAAAACAUAAAAUAUCAUAUGCCAUGAAGACUAUAAUUCAAGGGCUUCCAAGAGAACUCAGAAAAUCAAAUUGCCAGGACAAAGUUUUUAAGCUGGUCGUGCCGUGAAGCUUAGCUGAAAGUUUUGUAGAACGUCUAACCAGGCUGGAUCAAGAUAUUUGUAGAAUGAAGUAAGCUCAUAGUAACUCCCACUGUCUUCUUUCCGCAUCGGCAUCAAGUGCGCCGGAAACACUGACUCUGGCAGGACAGCUGGAGCAGGUGGUCUACACGCGGGACUCGACCGCAUGACCCACAGCUGCUUUUCCGCUUAAGCUGGGACAGCGGCAGAAAGACCAGACCAGACAGGAUCCUCUGAUGAGCAGCUCAGGACUUUACAUCAGUGCCCUGGAAACUCUUAGGGUAAUUUCAAGUUCAAAGGAACAGUCUUUCGGCAACAAAUUAGUUAAGUGACUAUCAUUAAGAUUUCAGACUCUGUAACAGUUCAUCUGGCUACUAUCGUGGGAAUGGGAUUCUGGAAAGAACUGCUUUACAGUCAAACCAGGUCCCUACCCCUCAAUACAUAGAAACAAACAAACAAACAAGAAAACCAACGUGUUAAAAAAAUUGAACAUUCAUUUAUUAUAUAUUCAAAUA
Molecule: long non-coding RNA, 1331 nt
Organism: Leopardus geoffroyi (Geoffroy's cat)
Lineage: Eukaryota; Metazoa; Chordata; Mammalia; Carnivora; Felidae
Exons: 2
Source: RefSeq, a predicted model, not a curated record